GACAGAGGCCACAAGCGUUAGGCGGAAUCACUGGGCUUAAAGCGCGUGUAGGCGGACCGUUAAGUGCUUUGUGAAAUCCCACGGCUCAACCGUGGAAUGGCUUGGCAGACUGGCGGUCUUGAGCCACCCAGGGGCAACUGGAACAAGCGGUGGAGCGGUGAAAUGCGUAGAUAUCGCUUGGAACGCCAACGGUGAAAACAGGUUGCUGGAGGUGCGCUGACGCUGAGACGCGAAAGCCAGGGGAGCAAAC
This 250-nucleotide ribosomal RNA is filed under the name uncultured bacterium. RNAcentral describes it as "partial 16S ribosomal RNA". It matches the Rfam family "Bacterial small subunit ribosomal RNA", at positions 524 to 773 of the family's 1533-position model. The record is from RNAcentral.